Long non-coding RNA from Ictalurus punctatus (channel catfish), 1215 nucleotides. RefSeq lists it as uncharacterized. The record is from RefSeq and is a predicted model, not a curated record. The transcript has 3 exons. NCBI's taxonomy places the organism in Eukaryota, Metazoa, Chordata, Actinopteri, Siluriformes, Ictaluridae.
AUUAUUCUAAGAUAUUCCCCUUAUAAUAUCUUAAUACUCCUUUUUAUUAUUCUUAUAAAGUUAUAAUGUUAUGUGUGUGAGAGAGAGAGAGACAGAGAGUGUGUUUGUGUGUGUUAUGUCUACAUGCCCGCCCUUGACUGUACGAGAGUGUGUGUGUGUGUGUUAGCACUCCUCAGCUCUUAUACUUCUUUUUGACUUUUUGACUAAUAAACCAUAGUGUGUUACUCUUAAAAGAUCUUAAAGUGUGAAUCCAAUUCGUCAAUAGCCGCUUAAUACCGCUUCUGUGUGUCUAGGUGCCCGUCGUCAUUUCUUCUUCUCCCCUUUACUGGAUACUAGGUCUCCCUCAUGUUUAUUUCAUGUCAUUUUUAUCCACAACAAUACACAGGUGAAAUCAACAUAUGUAAAGCACUCCUAACUACACAAAGCAACAGCAAUGAUCUGCCACAGGAUGGAGUCUUAAGUACAUCACCCGAAACGUGCAGCCAACCUAUCCUAUUGCACAAGGCAGGAGCAGGCGUGGACAAGAUGUGAUCAUCCAGUGGCAAGUCGGAACGUGACACAUGCAGGCCUAAAGAAGGAGGAGGAGACAAAAGACACCCAUUCCACCACCGACAUAGACACACGAAUGGCACAUAGAGCAAACAGAAAUACACUGGAGAACGUAACACAGAUAUGUUCCCCUAGCUGAGAGAAAUAUCUUCGCCCCAGUAGACACCUACCAGAGGUUAAACAGAGGAAGAAUGAUUACCUUUGCUCAGGAGCUUGUUGUUUUAGUCUUCUCAAGGAAACUCUGAAAGAAUCCACUCUCAAAGGAAAUUCUUUGCCAGAUGACCCACCAAAAAAGCAACUGGAUAAGGAAAAGGUACAUGCCUUAACAGAUGCCGUCAUGACGGAAUUUCUAGACACAACUCCAGCUGAUGAGUGGAAUUGCCUAUGGCACAAAUGUAACAACGGGCAAUUUGCAAAUAAAAGAAAGAUUUAAUUUAUGGAAUAUUUACUAUUUCAGUAACAUUUUUUUUGUUGAAAAUCUUCUGUUGACCUGUUGUGAUUACUGUACAUGUAUUGGAGCACUGUAUUGCUUGCAUAUUUAAUGCAUCUGCAUAUUUGUUGAGCCCAUAAAUGUUUGUUUUUUUUUUUAUGGUGAAUGUGAGUCAUACAAAAAACUAUUAGAAUUCAUAAUCAUAAAGUGAACUAUUAAAAUAAUGACUACUGUUA